GGUUCGGUAGCUCAGUUGGUAGAGCGAUGGCCUGAAAAGCCAUGCGCCGCUGGUUCGAUUCCAGCCCGGACCACCA
RNAcentral lists this transfer RNA (76 nucleotides) under Paenibacillus allorhizosphaerae. RNAcentral's name for it is "Paenibacillus sp. JJ-447 tRNA-Phe". It matches the Rfam family "tRNA". From Rfam's summary of the family: Transfer RNA (tRNA) molecules are approximately 80 nucleotides in length. Lineage: Bacteria; Bacillati; Bacillota; Bacilli; Caryophanales; Paenibacillaceae. The record is from RNAcentral.